UUGACCUCGGAUCAGGUGAGGAUACCCGCUGA
RNAcentral lists this ribosomal RNA (32 nucleotides) under Peltigera degenii. RNAcentral describes it as "partial 28S large subunit ribosomal RNA". RNAcentral also lists the same sequence under 4 other names. The record is from RNAcentral. Lineage: Eukaryota; Fungi; Ascomycota; Lecanoromycetes; Peltigerales; Peltigeraceae.